Molecule: transfer RNA, 55 nt
Filed under: Bos taurus (domestic cattle)
Lineage: Eukaryota; Metazoa; Chordata; Mammalia; Artiodactyla; Bovidae
Also listed under: 2 other names
Source: Rfam by way of RNAcentral
UGGCUCAGAUGUAAAGCAUCUGCCUGCAAUGCAGGAGACCUGGGUUCAAUCCCUG